This 73-nucleotide transfer RNA is filed under the name Camelus bactrianus (Bactrian camel). It matches the Rfam family "tRNA". From Rfam's summary of the family: Transfer RNA (tRNA) molecules are approximately 80 nucleotides in length. Lineage: Eukaryota; Metazoa; Chordata; Mammalia; Artiodactyla; Camelidae. The record is from Rfam by way of RNAcentral. RNAcentral also lists the same sequence under 2 other names.
GAGGAUAUAGCUCAGUGGUAGAGUGCGUGCUUAGCAUGCAAGAGGUCCUGGGUUCGAUCCCCAAGUACCACCA